CCUACGGGAGACAGCAGUGGGGAAUCUUGGACAAUGGGGGGAACCCUGAUCCAGCGACGCCGCGUGAGUGAAGAAGUAUUUCGGUAUGUAAAGCUCUAUCAGCAGGGAAGAAAGAAAUGACGGUACCUGACUAAGAAGCCCCGGCUAACUACGUGCCAGCAGCCGCCGUAAUACGGAGGGGGCAAGCGUUAUCCGGAUUUACUGGGUGUAAAGGGAGCGUAGACGGCGAUGCAAGUCUGAAGUGAAAGGCGGGGGCCCAACCCCCGGACUGCUUUGGAAACUGUAUGGCUGGAGUGCAGGAGAGGUAAGUGGAAUGCCUAGUGUAGCGGUGAAAUGCGUAGAUAUUAGGAGGAACACCAGUGGCGAAGGCGGCUUACUGGACUGUAACUGACGUUGAGGCUCGAAAGCGUGGGGAGCAAACAGGAUUAGAUACCCCAGUAGUC
RNAcentral lists this ribosomal RNA (443 nucleotides) under uncultured bacterium. Its description in RNAcentral is "partial 16S ribosomal RNA". It matches the Rfam family "Bacterial small subunit ribosomal RNA", at positions 338 to 795 of the family's 1533-position model. The record is from RNAcentral.